This 237-nucleotide ribosomal RNA is filed under the name uncultured bacterium. RNAcentral's name for it is "partial 16S ribosomal RNA". It matches the Rfam family "Bacterial small subunit ribosomal RNA", at positions 119 to 353 of the family's 1533-position model. The record is from RNAcentral.
GAGCAACCUGCCUACAAGAGGGGGACAACAGUUGGAAACGACUGCUAAUACCGCAUAAGACCACGCUAUCGCAUGGUAGAGAGGUCAAAGAUUUAUCGCUUGUAGAUGGGCUCGCGUCUGAUUAGCUAGUUGGUGAGGUAAUGGCUCACCAAGGCGACGAUCAGUAGCCGACCUGAGAGGGUGAUCGGCCACACUGGAACUGAGACACGGUCCAGACUCCUACCGGGAGGCAGCAUG